RNAcentral lists this ribosomal RNA (274 nucleotides) under uncultured bacterium. RNAcentral's name for it is "partial 16S ribosomal RNA". The record is from RNAcentral.
CUGCUGCCUUCCGUAGGAGUCUGGUCCGUGUCUCAGUACCAGUGUGGGGGGCCUUCCUCUCAGAACCCCUACGCAUCGUCGGCACGGUGGGCCGUUACCCCGCCGUCUACCUAAUGCGACGCAUGUCCAUCCUAUGCCGGAUCUCUCCUUUAACCGCCCGGGAAUGCUCCCAAAAGGUGUUACGCGGUAUUAGGCCGGAUUUCUCCGGGUUAUCCCCCUGCAUAGGGCAGGUUACAUACGUGUUACUCACCCGUGCGCCGGUCGCCGGCAGGCA